ACAGGCAUCAGAGAAGACCAGUAGUUAUCCUGAAGGUUUCAGAUUUGUUUUUUAACAAUGAGGCUGGUGGUUUUUAGUUGUGUUGGAUUGUUGUUGCUUAUUGCAGUUGACUUGAGUUUGGCACAGUGGUCAAGAUUUCAACAAGGCCAGGAUCCACUAAGAUUCCAACAGCAACAGUCGCCAGUUUUAGCUCCUCAGCAAUCUGUUCAAGAUCCACAGGCAUCAACAACUUUUCGGCCUCCAAGACCUGCAAUGAGGCCUGCUGGGGUGGAUGCACGGAAGCUUCAAGAACCUGGAAGUAGUCAGUCCAAACAGCUUAUGCAGGCUCCUAUGGCACCUUUGACCUGGCAUUUUCCAGUAAUGCCAGAAGAACCCCAACAGCCAGAUGUGCCUUUUGAGCAGCGUGUACCUAUAGCUCCCCAGAGUGUUGCAGCACAAUGUGGGGAGAACUUCGUGCAUGUGGAGGUGAAGAAGGACUUCUUUGGUAUUGGUCAGCUGGUGAAUCCUUCAUUUCUCACUUUAGGAGGCUGUGCAGCUGUAGGGGAGGAUCCAGAAGCUGAAGUUCUUAUAUUUGAAUAUGAGCUCCAGACAUGUGACAGCUCUCUGAUGAUGACUGAUAAUGAGCUUGUGUAUACAUUCAACCUCCUCUAUACUUCUGUGGCUUUAGUAGGAACUCCCAUUGUAAGGGCUGAUGUAGCAGCUGUUGGAAUUGAGUGCCACUAUUCAAGGUUGUAUAAUGUAAGCAGCAAUAUCUUGUUGCCCGCUUGGGUUCCUUUUGCUGCAACUAAAGUUGCAGAGGAAGUUCUGGUGUUCUCCUUGAGGCUCAUGACUGAUGACUGGAUGUUUGAGAGGCCAUCCAAUCAGUACUUCCUAGGGCAAUUCCUGAAGCUUGAAGCUUCUGUGAAGCAGUACAACCAUGUUCCUCUGCGCAUCUUUGUGGAUGGUUGUGUGGCUACUGCAGCCCCUAAUGUGAACACCACCUCUCCAAGAUAUUCCUUUAUUGAGAACCAUGGGUGCCUGGUAGACGCAAAGCUUACAGGCUCCACUUCCAGUUUCAUGCGUCGUAUUCAGAGUGACAAGCUGCAGUUUCAGUGUACAUCGCCCCUGCUCUAAAGGCUGUUAUGGCCUCAACCCCCACAUGUCCAGAGAACAAGGCUUGCUCCUUCAUAAAUGGAUGACGAUGACCAGGUGUACAUGUGCUGUGACACCACGUGUGGUCUCGGCAGAAAGGGACAAGCACUGUCUGAUUCAGGUCUGGUAUCGGAAGGGAAAGCAACCAUUGGCCCCAUUGUGAUUACUCACUGAUGUAUUGUGAAUGACGAAGUGCCAAUAAAAGUGUUCAUUGGCAA
Molecule: RNA transcript, 1349 nt
Organism: Sinocyclocheilus rhinocerous
Lineage: Eukaryota; Metazoa; Chordata; Actinopteri; Cypriniformes; Cyprinidae
Gene name: zona pellucida sperm-binding protein 3-like
Exons: 8
Source: RefSeq, a predicted model, not a curated record